Molecule: long non-coding RNA, 1783 nt
Organism: Myxocyprinus asiaticus (Chinese sucker)
Lineage: Eukaryota; Metazoa; Chordata; Actinopteri; Cypriniformes; Catostomidae
Exons: 3
Source: RefSeq, a predicted model, not a curated record
ACAGUUCUUGAAGGGAGGGCAGCGGGCAAUCAAUAAGCCACUCAGCAGCUGCAGAGGACAGACUCAAUGACUGCUGAGUAGAACUGUAUCAGCAGCGCCUGUGGCAGGUUGAACUUCCUCAGCUGGCGAAGAAAGGACAACCUCUGCUGGGCCUUUUUCACAAUGGAGUCAAUGUGGGUCUCCCACUUCAGGUCCUGUGAGAUGGUAGUGCCCAGGAAACUGAAUGACUCCACUGCUGCCACAGUGCAGUUCAGAAUGACCCCUCUCCCAAAAGAGAGCUGCCCACCAUGAUCCUGUUUAGUGUUGUUUUUGCAUUAAGGCCUAAGGACAAUACUCCCUCACCAGAAGAGACCCCCACAGCAGUUUUUCCUAAUACUCUGAUGAGGAAGAAAUGGGUCUCGGUGCCUGAGUCCACUGCUGAUCGCAUUGAGGCAUCCAAGUCCACUGCCCUUCGAACUCUCUAGACACCGCUGGGUCAGUCCCUUCCCCAGUGGCCAACGAAGAGGUGCUUUGACCUUGCUCUCAUACAGGUCUCCUGCUGCCUCAUCCUCGCUCUGGUCUUCUGAACCGUCUUGGUCUUCUGAAACAUUUUGUAUCACUGUUAUGUAGGAUACCACAAAUAGAUUUUUUGUUCUUUCUGUAGAAUGCUUGUUGUCUACCCUUAGACCAAAACAUAUUUUGUUUAUUGGCCUGAUUUCUCUCGGCUCUGCCCCAGUGAAGAAGCAUGGUAAAACUGUUCAUACUGAUGGUGUACCGCAAACUGCUAAGCUCCACGUAGAUCCUGGAAACUUCAAGGUGAGAGGUUCUAUGCAAAAAAUUGCUAAUGUAUUUUAGUGCAGUGUUUACAAAUCAUUCUCCCAUCUCACUUUAGUGUUUCACUAAUUUCUGACUCACCCAAUUCUUGUUAUGGAGCAUUUUGCUCAAGAGGCUGAUGAGGUGAAGGAGACAUCCAAAUAAGAAAUACUGGAGGUUAUGAAUUCAUGAAGUAUUGAUAGUUCAUUAACUACGUACUUUGUCCCAUAACAUCCUCGUGACUCUUGCAGGUAAUUUCCCUGCAGAAGUGCACGUGGCCGUGGACAAGUUCCUUGCAGCUCUCUCUGCCACUCUUGCUGAUAAAUACAGAUAAGCGCAUCAUUCAGCAGCUCUGCAUGUAUCUGCAUAUUGAGCCACUUAAGAGCAUAAAGUUAAAAUGGCAGUUGCAAUUAAUACAAUCUAUAACAACCAAGAAUGUCUCUUCUCUGUGUGUAUUCAGACAACAUUAACCAAAUCAGUAGGCCUAUGAGUUUACAACGUUAUUGAUCCCCACCCAUAUAGGACAAUUGAAAGUAUAGAGUUACAAGAUGCUUUCCACAGAGAACAAAAACAUAAAAUUCAACAAAAAUACAGUAAGAAACCCAUUACUAUAGAAACUUCUGGACAAAAUGCAGUGAAAACAGUGAUUAAAUAAAUGGCCGAAAUAAAAAGAACUUAGUGUAACAGGUAUGAAAGUAUAUUUUACAUACACAUGUAUUUGUCAUUUGUAGAAUUACACAGAAUUUUCAUGUGUACCUUAUGUGUGUCUCUGCCUGUUUAAUUUUGACUGCAAUCCUGUGCAGAACAAUUCUCAGUCUUAACUCCUCCUUUUCUUUUUCAGCUUUGUAGUAAUGGAGAAGCAGGCUUAUGCUUAGCUACAAUUAAUCUGUUUUCAUCUGUUUGUGAUAUUAUUUCCCCAUACAUUACAACAAUAUUUUAUUUUCUGUCUCUCAUAUGAACUUGAAACACAUGCUCACUAUAGCACACCAUU